CCAAGAUUUAUUAAUUUUUUUUCAUAAAUAUUACUCAAGUUGUUCUCAUUUUUCCAUCACCACUUUCAUGAUCUUAAUACUGUGUAAAGGUACUAAGAUACUAAGUAACUGCAAUAACAAGGUCCUCUUGUUCUGCUUUUACCCCAUUUAAUCAUUUUCUACAAAGAGUGGAACUUGAAAACAUACAGACAAUACAACCUCCUAUUUAAAAUCUUUCAAUGUCUUUCUUAGAAUAACACCAAACUCCAUAACAGGACCUAGAAGUUCCUGUUUGGUCUCACAACCCAUGCUUACUUUUUCUGUCUUUUCCUACACCAAACCCACUAUAACUCUCAGCAUAACCACCGCAUGAGACUAGUUUUAGGAACUUAAAUUGUCAUGCACUUUUUCACCACAACACCUGGGCAAAAGUUGUUCCCUAUACCUGGAAUUCUUUUUCAUCUGUUCUUCAACAAGUUGAUUCCAAAAAAUUUUCUAUAUCUCAAUUCUAUUUUCAAAAACCAUUGACUUCUAUAAGCCUCUAUUUAGGUACUAUAAUACAGUCAUGUUUGGGGUCUCCUGCAAAUAGCAUCAAUUCAGAGCAAGUGUCUUGUAGCUUCACCAAAAUAUAAUUAUUUCCUUUUAUCCAAAGAAUAGUCACCCAGGUAAGUGAUUAUAUAUCUCUUUGGGGAAGGGUGGGGAGAAGUCAUAACUAUUAACAUAUAAAUUUUACCAGUUGAACAGGACCCUUCCUCAGCAGACUUAGCCAUUUCCCUCUCCCUUAACUGACAGAGUUCUAGUUCAGUCCUGGGAAUUGAUUGUGGGAUCAUGAUUGCCUGUGUUGCUGCUUCAAGUCAGACCUGGCACCCUUCUAUCCCAGCAAGGUGGGCUUUUGGAGAGAGAGCUCCAUAUAUGCAGAUGGAAUUGAUCAUUUAGUUACAUCCUACACCUCCCAGGAACCUUCCCCAGGACUGGGCCAAUAAAAGGAAACAACCUGAGAGGAUCAGUGAGUAAGGGAGUGAGUCAGUCAGUCUGUCUCUCCCUGCUUCUGAGAGAGGAGUAAGAACAAUCCAAACUUAUGAGAGGGGAACAGGAAGUUGAGGCAGGUGCCUGGUGGCAAAAGUAGGCUGAGGAUCAUAGACACAGCUGAAUGCUCGCCUCAGUGAAGUCAAGCAAGAUUUCUAGGAUCUCCCCUUGAAGUUGAGGACUGUAUCCAGUGGGAGCCUCCCUAACCUUCCUCAUGUUGCCUGAGAACACACACUCAUGAAGUCAUGUAGGCCAGCUCUGCAUGCCUUUAUCCUCCCCCAGUUCAGACAGCAAAUGUUUUAAUUGCUCAUUUCAACUCUAUGAAACCAUCAGACACUGGAUGGUAUGCAAUAUGAUACGUCCAUUUGGUGUGGUACUUCUUUGCCCACUGUUGAAUACUA
Long non-coding RNA from Nycticebus coucang (slow loris), 1406 nucleotides. RefSeq lists it as uncharacterized. The transcript is spliced from 4 exons. The record is from RefSeq and is a predicted model, not a curated record. Lineage: Eukaryota; Metazoa; Chordata; Mammalia; Primates; Lorisidae.